AAAUUGCGGAUCCUUAUGUUGUAAAAAACGAAGGACGACUGGGUCAGGUCUAUCCCCUAUCAGUUUUCGUAGGAAGUGUAUUGUACUUUCUAGACUAUGACGGGUAACGAAAAAUAAGGGUUUGAUUUCGGAGAAGGAGCCUGAGAGACGGCUACUACAUCUAAGGAAGGCAGCAGGCGCGCAAAUUUCCCAUUGCUUAUCAUAUAAUGUAAGCGAGGAAGUGACGAUCAAUAACAAUGUGUGACUCUUUAUGGGUUAUGCAAUUGGAAUGACUACAAUUUAAAGAGUUUAAGAAGGAUCAAUUGGAGGGCAAGUCUGGUGCCGGCAGCCGCGGUAAUUCCAGCUCCAAUAGGAUAUAUCAAAGUUGUUGCAGUUAAAAAGCUCGUAGUUGAAUUUCUGGAGGGUAGAAGUGUUUUUUUUAGAGAAGCAAUUUUUUAUGAAAGACACCGCUUUCCAUUUUGUGGAUUUCUGUUUUGUAUAAAGAUAGUUUACUCUAUUUUUGUAUAAAAUACCACUCCGUCACUGAGAGCAAAUUGGAGUGCUCAAAGCAGGCUUUAUUAGCUUUGAACAUUUUAGCUUGGAAUGACAAGAUAUGACUUUUGUUUUAUUUUGUUGGUUAUGAAAUAAAAGUAAUGAUUAACAGGAACAGUUGCGGGGGUACUCGUAUUGAAAGGUCAGAGGUGAAACUCUUGGAUUCUUUCAAGACGAACGACUGCGAAAGCAUUUACCAAGGAUGUUUUCAUUAAUCAAGAACGAAAGCUCGGGGAUCGAAGAUGAUUAGAUACCAUCGUAGUCCGACGCCAUAAACGAUGCCGACUCGGGAUUAUUUUGUUAGUUUAAAUUAAAAAAGAACACAAAGUAGCACCGUAUGAGAAAUCAAAGUCUUUGGGUUCCGGGGGGAGUAUGGUCGCAAGGCUGAAACUUAAAGGAAUUGACGGAAGGGCACACCAGAGGUGGAGCCUGCGGUUUAAUUUGACACAACACGGGGAAACUUACCAGGUCCAGACAUGAUGAGGAUUGACAGUUUGAAAGCACUUUCUUGAUUUCAUGGGUGGUGGUGCAUGGCCGUUCUUAGUUGGUGGAGUGAUUUGUCUGGUUGAUUCCGAUAACGAACGAGACGGGGUGAAUUUACUAGUUUGUUAUAUAAUUUACGUUAUAUAAGACUUCUUUAUUCGACAACUUGGUUUUACCAAGAGGAAGCGCCCCGCAAUAACAGGUCUGUGAUGCCCUUAGAUGUUCUGGGCUACACGCGCGCUACAAUGACGAAUUCAACGAGUUAAAAAUUUAUUCCUUAUCCGGAAGGAUGUGGGUAAUCUUUUCAAUAUUCGUCGUGAUGGGGCUAGAUUUUUGCAAUUAUUAAUCUUCAACGAGGAAUCUCUAGUAUGUGCAAGUCAUCAGCUUGCGCAGAAUGCGUCCCUGCCCUUUGUACACACCGCCCGUCGCACCUACCGAUUGGACGAUCCGGCAAGAUGUUUGGAGUUGUUUUGAUUGUAGAGUAAUUUAUGAUGAAAAUGACAAAGCUCUUCAAACCUUAUCGUCUAGAGGAAGGUGAAGUCGUAACAAGGUCUCCGUAGGUGAACCUGCGGAGG
This 1589-nucleotide ribosomal RNA is filed under the name metagenome. RNAcentral's name for it is "SSU rRNA". It matches the Rfam family "Eukaryotic small subunit ribosomal RNA", at positions 259 to 1823 of the family's 1831-position model. The record is from RNAcentral.